Molecule: long non-coding RNA, 826 nt
Filed under: Paramuricea clavata
Lineage: Eukaryota; Metazoa; Cnidaria; Anthozoa; Malacalcyonacea; Plexauridae
Source: RNAcentral
UAAUUGGGGUCGGGUGGGGGGGGGGGUAUAUUCAUAUAUUUGUGUUCUGCCAAGGCCUCGAAAUAAGUGCCAGUCACUGACCGGUAAAAAGUCACAGUUUGACCGGCAAAUCUUGUCGCCUGGCGGACAUACGUGACCAGUAAAUUUUUUAAUAAAAAAGUACGUUAAAAAAUGGAGCAGAUUUUUAUUUCCAAUUUUCCAAAGAAGCGUAUAUGUCCGUCUACAGUGCAGGCAAAUAAUGGCGGCGAAGUGACACAUUUUGUCAUACAUGCAGAUACGAUAUACCACAAGCAUUGUACCUAAGGGGCGGAUAAUUUGACUUUGGGGGGAGGGGGGGAGUGGGUUGGAAGAUUUCAAAAAAAAUAUUCCAGCAACCCAAGGAGAAAGAAAGAAAAAAUCGUGCAGCAUACAAUCGAGAAAAAAAAUAUCAUGCAAAAGAGAGCGCUCAAAAAAAUAUUCUUCCAUGUAAAUCUACUGAAGCUUUUCACUUCAGUAUUGUAUCCACAGGCUUGAAAGAUUUUGCAUUUUUGAGCAGCUAGCACAUUCGCUUAAAAGAACACUGGGUGAACAGUGGACAGCAUCACAGGGAUAGCCAGUCGGACAUUCCCUGGCAAAAUUGUUGCCCUUUAUAUAAUAAACAGAAAAAUACAUGGGCAUGGGCGUCAAUCCUUGGGGGAUGGGGGGGACAUGUCCCCCCAGUUUUUGGAGUAGGGGGACGAAUAUCUAAUUAUCCCCCCCCCCCACACACACUUUUUGACAUGUUUAAUGAAAUUUUGUUUCUUGGUUAUCUAAAAACCUAAUGCAUGGUCAGUGCUGUUCUUCAAAA